UACAGAGGUCUCGAGCGUUGUUCGGAUUCAUUGGGCGUAAAGGGUGCGUAGGCGGCGGGGCAAGUCUGAUGUGAAAUCCCGGGGCUCAACCCCGGAACUGCAUUGGAUACUGCCUUGCUAGAGCACUGGAGAGGAGACUGGAAUUUACGGUGUAGCAGUGAAAUGCGUAGAUAUCGGGAGGAACACCUGUGGCGAAAGCGGCGCACUGGACCACAACUGACGCUGAGGCGCGAAAGCUAGGGGAGCAAACAGG
Molecule: ribosomal RNA, 253 nt
Filed under: uncultured prokaryote
Description: partial 16S ribosomal RNA
Rfam family: Bacterial small subunit ribosomal RNA
Source: RNAcentral